CCUACGGGAGGCAGCAGUAGGGAAUCUUCCACAAUGGGCGAAAGCCUGAUGGAGCAACGCCGCGUGGGUGAAGAAGGUCUUCGGAUCGUAAAACCCUGUUGUUAGAGAAGAAAGUGCGUGAGAGUAACUGUUCACGUUUCGACGGUAUCUAACCAGAAAGCGACGGCUAACUACGUGCCAGCAGCCGCGGUAAUACGUAGGUGGCAAGCGUUAUCCGGAUUUUUUGGGCGUAAAGGGAACGCAGGUGGUCUUGUAAGUCUGAUGUGAAAGCGUUCGGCUUAACCGGAGUAGUGCAUUGGAAACUGGGAGACUUGAGUGCAGAAGAGGAGAGUGGAACUCCAUGUGUAGCGGUGAAAUGCGUAGAUAUAUGGAAGAACACCAGUGGCGAAAGCGGCUCUCUGGUCUGUAACUGACGCUGAGGUUCGAAAGCGUGGGUAGCAAACAGGAUUAGAUACCCGGGUAGUC
This 465-nucleotide ribosomal RNA is filed under the name uncultured bacterium. RNAcentral's name for it is "partial 16S ribosomal RNA". It matches the Rfam family "Bacterial small subunit ribosomal RNA", at positions 338 to 795 of the family's 1533-position model. The record is from RNAcentral.